Molecule: ribosomal RNA, 118 nt
Filed under: Lepisosteus oculatus (spotted gar)
Lineage: Eukaryota; Metazoa; Chordata; Actinopteri; Semionotiformes; Lepisosteidae
Source: RNAcentral
GCCAGCAGCCAUAUCACUCUACAACUCACAACUCGCAACCCACUGAAGCUCAGCAGGUGUGAGCCUGGCCAGUACCUGGAUGGGAGACCUCCUGGGAAAAACUAGACUGCUGCUGGAA